RNAcentral lists this ribosomal RNA (492 nucleotides) under uncultured bacterium. RNAcentral's name for it is "partial 16S ribosomal RNA". It matches the Rfam family "Bacterial small subunit ribosomal RNA", at positions 29 to 507 of the family's 1533-position model. The record is from RNAcentral.
AGUGAACGCUGGCGGUAGGCCUAACACAUGCAAGUCGAACGGCAGCACAGUAAGAGCUUGCUCUUACGGGUGGCGAGUGGCGGACGGGUGAGGAAUACAUCGGAAUCUACUUUUUCGUGGGGGAUAACGUAGGGAAACUUACGCUAAUACCGCAUACGACCUACGGGUGAAAGCAGGGGAUCUUCGGACCUUGCGCGAUUGAAUGAGCCGAUGUCGGAUUAGCUAGUUGGCGGGGUAAAGGCCCACCAAGGCGACGAUCCGUAGCUGGUCUGAGAGGAUGAUCAGCCACACUGGAACUGAGACACGGUCCAGACUCCUACGGGAGGCAGCAGUGGGGAAUAUUGGACAAUGGGCGCAAGCCUGAUCCAGCCAUACCGCGUGGGUGAAGAAGGCCUUAUGGUUGUAAAGCCCUUUUGUUGGGAAAGAAAAGCAGCAGGUUAAUACCCCGCUGUUCUGACGGUACCCAAAGAAUAAGCACCGGCUAACUUCGUG